This 1032-nucleotide long non-coding RNA is filed under the name Carica papaya (papaya). Its description in RNAcentral is "long non-coding RNA (CPAP_LNC003136)". Lineage: Eukaryota; Viridiplantae; Streptophyta; Magnoliopsida; Brassicales; Caricaceae. The record is from RNAcentral.
AAGUAAAAAAUGGGCCUAACCUGAUGAGUACAUGAUGUUAUAGAUUAUAUUAGAUCCCACUUCUAAGAGAAGAAAAUUGCAAUCCGCAUGGCAAGCCAAACCAACUUCCACAUCUAAAGGCUCGGAAAGGAAAUCAAAACUCAUGGCCAGCACCAUCUUAACACAGUAUUGCAGGAGUUUUAUUAAGUUAAGCGCUAUCUAAGCCCCACUAAACUCUCGCGCCAAGAUCUAAUUGAACGCUUCCCCAAAAGUUCCUAUUACCUAAUAAGCAAUUUGCAUGGACGAAACGUAUGGGAAACCUAACCCUAUCCAACUCAUUUCUGACGGGCCGCUACGCCACAUUUUUCCACAAAUUCAUUUUCUUCUUUCAUAAACACACACCGGGUUAAUCAUACGCUAGAGGAACGAGAUCUAACCCACACCAAUUCCCAAAAAACAUUAUAGCUCCUCUAAUCCUUUUCCCGACCUCUAAGUGAGAAAUCAACGGCGAGCAUCGGAGAUCCAAAUCAAGAUCUGUAAAACGAAUUAAGGUUACAGCAGUUACCUUGUGAUCGGAUUCUGAGGCAAUGCCGAGUGAGAAUAAAAGAGAGACGAGGAGGAAGAUGGAGAGGAAUCGAACGGUGGAGGACAUCGCCGUGGAGAGAGAUGAGCAGUAGCCGAGUACAAAAACCAAGCAGAGAAGAUUUUUGGAGCUCAGAUGGAGAUUAUUUAUUUUUUUAAUUCGUUGAUUUAUUACUUAAUUUUUCUGGAGAUUUUCUUAUCAAAUUUCUGAUGUCUGCAAUUUGCAAAAUGCUUUGUGAGAAGGAUGGAGCCAGACUGCUGUUUUUCUUGUUCUCUUUCUUUUUUUACGUUUAUAAGUCAGCUGAAAGGGGGCUCCUGUGUGUGUGCGCGUCUGAAAUGUAAGGGGAGAGAGGGGGCUAGGCUUUUGUAAGAUGAAUCCAAAUAAAAAAAUAAAAAUAGAAAUAUAUGGUAUAAAAAUAAUAACCAAUCUGACGUUGACAUGUCACCAUAUGGAAAAUGCUUCCUCAAAAU